UUUCCCUACGGGAGGCAGCAGUGAGGAAUAUUGGUCAAUGGUCGGGAGACUGAACCAGCCAAGCCGCGUGAGGGAUGAAGGUACAGAGUAUCGUAAACCUCUUUUGCCGGGGGACAAACGGCGGCACGCGUGCCGUCCUGAGGGUACCCGGAGAAAAAGCAUCGGCUAACUCCGUGCCAGCAGCCGCGGUAAUACGGAGGAUGCGAGCGUUAUCCGGAUUUAUUGGGUUUAAAGGGUGCGUAGGCGGGAUGCCAAGUCAGCGGUCAAAUACGGUGGCUCAACCUGCGU
This 288-nucleotide ribosomal RNA is filed under the name uncultured bacterium. Its description in RNAcentral is "partial 16S ribosomal RNA". It matches the Rfam family "Bacterial small subunit ribosomal RNA", at positions 334 to 619 of the family's 1533-position model. The record is from RNAcentral.